Molecule: transfer RNA, 59 nt
Filed under: Teladorsagia circumcincta
Lineage: Eukaryota; Metazoa; Nematoda; Chromadorea; Rhabditida; Trichostrongylidae
Description: tRNA-Met
Source: RNAcentral
AGUAAGAUAGGAUAAAAAGUCUAUUAGGUUCAUACCCUGAUGGUGGUAAACUCUUGCUA